This 737-nucleotide ribosomal RNA is filed under the name uncultured bacterium. RNAcentral's name for it is "bacterial SSU rRNA". It matches the Rfam family "Bacterial small subunit ribosomal RNA", at positions 60 to 809 of the family's 1533-position model. The record is from RNAcentral.
AGUCGACGGUGAUCUUGGAGCUUGCUCCGGGUGAGCAGUGGCGAACGGGUGAGUAACACGUGAGUAACCUGCCCCAGACUCUGGAAUAAGCGCUGGAAACGGCGUCUAAUACCGGAUAUGAGAUGCAACCGCAUGGUUAGUGUCUGGAAAGUUUUUCGGUCUGGGAUGGACUCGCGGCCUAUCAGCUUGUUGGUGAGGUAAUGGCUCACCAAGGCGAUGACGGGUAGCCGGCCUGAGAGGGCGAUCGGCCACACUGGGACUGAGACACGGCCCAGACUCCUACGGGAGGCAGCAGUGGGGAAUAUUGCACAAUGGGCGAAAGCCUGAUGCAGCGACGCCGCGUGAGGGAUGACGGCCUUCGGGUUGUAAACCUCUUUCAGCAGGGAAGAAGCGCAAGUGACGGUACCUGCAGAAGAAGCACCGGCUAACUACGUGCCAGCAGCCGCGGUAAUACGUAGGGUGCGAGCGUUGUCCGGAAUUAUUGGGCGUAAAGAGCUUGUAGGCGGUUUGUCGCGUCUGCUGUGAAAAUCCGGGGCUCAACCCCGGACUUGCAGUGGGUACGGGCAGACUAGAGUGUGGUAGGGGAGACUGGAAUUCCUGGUGUAGCGGUGAAAUGCGCAGAUAUCAGGAGGAACACCGAUGGCGAAGGCAGGUCUCUGGGCCACUACUGACGCUGAGAAGCGAAAGCAUGGGGAGCGAACAGGAUUAGAUACCCUGGUAGAAUCACUAGUGAAUUC